AACGCACCUUGCGCUCUAUGGCAAUCCGUAGAGCAUGCCUGUUUGAGUGCCAUGAAAUCUCCCACCCCAAGCGGUUUUUGAAUGAAACGGCUUGGCGGAUGGGGUCUGGAUGGGUGCCUCUGCCUGUGCUUACCUUUUAGCCCACAGGCUCGCCCGAAAUGCAUGAGCGCCUUGGGACACUUUGCAUCCGCCUCUCUUGUGGGAGGAGGCGGCCAAGCAGUGUUUUUCUCCAGGCAUGGCAUGAUACGUCAUUUGCUAUGUCGCCCAAUGGAGGAAUGUUUGGUUGUGUCUGCGUGUGCUUCGAACUUGCCUCUGUGCAAAUCCCCUUUCACUUCUGGUCUCAAAUCAGGUAGGAUCACCCGCUGAACUUAA
RNAcentral lists this unclassified non-coding RNA (372 nucleotides) under uncultured Malassezia. Its description in RNAcentral is "sequence contains ITS2". The record is from RNAcentral. Lineage: Eukaryota; Fungi; Basidiomycota; Malasseziomycetes; Malasseziales; Malasseziaceae.